Molecule: ribosomal RNA, 414 nt
Filed under: uncultured bacterium
Lineage: Bacteria
Description: bacterial SSU rRNA
Rfam family: Bacterial small subunit ribosomal RNA
Source: RNAcentral
GUGUCAGCCGCCGCGGUAAUACGUAGGUGGCAAGCGUUGUCCGGAUUUAUUGGGCGUAAAGGGAGCGCAGGCGGUCUUUUAAGUCUGAAUGUGAAAGCCCUCAGCUUAACUGAGGAAGUGCAUCGGAAACUGAGAGACUUGAGUGCAGAAGAGGAGAGUGGAACUCCAUGUGUAGCGGUGAAAUGCGUAGAUAUAUGGAAGAACACCAGUGGCGAAGGCGGCUCUCUGGUCUGUAACUGACGCUGAGGUUCGAAAGCAUGGGUAGCGAACAGGAUUAGAUACCCUGGUAGUCCAUGCCGUAAACGAUGAGUGCUAAGUGUUGGGAGGUUUCCGCCUCUCAGUGCUGCAGCUAACGCAUUAAGCACUCCGCCUGGGGAGUACGACCGCAAGGUUAAAACUUAAAUAAAUUGACGG